AUCUUCCAAGACGCCUUUGGACCAACAGGUGGGGCUAUACAGCCCAAGCUCCCAAAAAACAGUUUUCAUACUUCCCUCAUCGAAGAACUUACUUCACUAUAUUUGUGUUUGCUGUCCUCUUAUUUUGAAUAUUGACUGAUCCUAACUUGAACCUGAGGAGACCAACGAGGCAGUUCAGAGACAAAUUUGUUCCCAAAGUCCAAAGAUCAUCCUGAAGGAGGCGAGUGUCCACAGAAAUACCCACAAUGAGUGCCUUAUUCACCAAUAAGAGGGUCCAGGUCAGUGGUCUGCUGAUUAUCAGCAGGAUAUCUUGGGUGUAGCGGUUGUCCAGAUUCAAAUUACAAUAUCUGCACUGGGCUGUCAGGUGGUUGAACCGAGAUGGAAUACGUACAGUAAAGGAUCUGGACAUCUCCUGGAU
Molecule: non-coding RNA, 418 nt
Organism: Pelobates cultripes (western spadefoot toad)
Lineage: Eukaryota; Metazoa; Chordata; Amphibia; Anura; Pelobatidae
Source: the annotation of a GenBank genome assembly